AAGAUUGGCCCUAAGUGGUUUACCCAACAACUGCCUCUGGAGAUGCAAAAGGAUGAAAAUACAUUUCUGAAUGUUUGGGAAUCAUUCUUAACCCCUAGGCUCCUUUUUUCUUACCGUAACACCACUAAACAUCAAAUUGCUUUGAUAGUUUAUCAACCCAACCUUGUCUCUAGACAGUUUGGUCUAAUCCAAAUCAAACCUCAACCUAUAUU
Molecule: long non-coding RNA, 212 nt
Filed under: Lathyrus oleraceus (garden pea)
Lineage: Eukaryota; Viridiplantae; Streptophyta; Magnoliopsida; Fabales; Fabaceae
Description: Pisum sativum (pea) long non-coding RNA (PSAT_LNC035633)
Source: RNAcentral